This is a non-coding RNA of Peromyscus maniculatus bairdii (prairie deer mouse), 2626 nucleotides long. Lineage: Eukaryota; Metazoa; Chordata; Mammalia; Rodentia; Cricetidae. The record is from RefSeq and is a predicted model, not a curated record.
GUAGGCAGUGAGGGGUGGAGGAUGAAUCCUGCCUCCUGUAUCAAGAAGUGUGUUCUCUCAGAGCAAUACAGUGUCUGCACCGAACAUUCCAGGCAAGCACUUCCUCCAUGGGCUCAUCUUAAUACCACUCACCUGUUUAUCCCCCCACAAAACAACUCCCAAAUAGCUCUGCCCAUUACAAAUGCAGGCCUCUCUCUGGGCAAUGUGCUCUCUGCUCUGUCUGGAGAGUGGGAACUCCAACACAUGCAGCCUUCUAGCCCUGCCUAUCACACCCCACUGGGUUAUGUCAAUUACCUCAAGUAACUAUAAGCUCCUGGAAGAAGUCCUAAGAUUAGGCAGUGUAUGCUCUCUAUUUAGACUGAAAGGCCAUGAGGUAUAUCCAGGACACAGAUCCUACACAGCCCUUCACACUUACAACAGGUAUUUCCUUUAAAAUCUACAUGCUCCCAUCUUAAGGGUAACUUUGGCUCCAUAAUAGACACAGGCCCCAAGUCACCACUGCUUAAGAAGGUCUAACAGAUCCAGAAUUUACUUCAGCAUGAGAUGAUGGAAAGAAGGCCUUGCCUUCCAGAUCUGAGAGGCCACUUGCCUGCCGACUUCCUCUGCCUGUGGACAACCAGCCUUUGGGCUGCGGACCAAGCGUCACACUUGGUCCAUGCCUUCAUCAGUUUUCACUAAAGCCACAAAAUCUUCCUUAAAAGGGUCCUAGGUACCUCCUGUUCCCCAAAUCUACAUUACUGCCUGGUCCAGGGUGGCAAGGCCCUGAUAGAAUCAGAUUCCUUCUCUCCAGUCCCACCAACCCUCAAUUAAGCCCCUGGAAGUGGUUGCCCUCCAUUAGAAUUAUGAAAGAAUUGGUCUGCUAUUAAUGUUCAAAUUACUUAGGUUUUGGUGGAUACUGGACCCAAAAAAGCACUUGGAGCAAUUGGCAGCUGUGGAUGAAUUCAGGGAUAAAACAGUAAAGUGUCUAUGUUGUUUGUACAGAUGUUGCUGCUUGGGCCCAGAGAGUGACACCAUCCAGACUGUGAAAAUAAAACACAGGACUGAAGGAUGGAACCUUGAACACUAGAUGAUGAGUUGCUUAACGCAGAGGUGAAGGAGCAAGAUGGAUGUGGAAAUGACGUUGAACAUGCAGGCAGGAGAUGAGCCAUGGCUUUCCAGAGAAGAAUCGGUGAGGCUGCUGGAAAGAGAGGUGGGUGCUAGGGAGAAAAGGGGGUGUUCUCCCACUGCACGGGAUCACGGGAGCUGUGGAAGUGCUGGCCGCACUCCUCCUGUGACAGGAGGUAACCGACGAGCAGGGCAGCGAGGGCAGAACAGGUUUCAGGGAAGGACAUUCAGCAAGGCAGAACAUAGACCAGUUCCAAGCUGGUGGUGACAGGGUAAGGAGCAAGAUCUUUGCAAAGAAUAAGAAUGGGAUGGGAAAGGCUGAACUGGUGAGGAGAGGUGACAGGGAGUGUCCCUCCCACAGGUUCUGUCUUGCCUAACCCUGGUUCUUUAAUAGUAGCUGGGACUAUAUGCAGAGAUAUCACUGACAGGCAUACAGGAAAGCUAUUCAGGGUUGGGGCAGAGAGGUGUCCAAAGUCAUAGCCUGGUUAGGUCCAGGAGACUGUGCUGUGUGUGUGCCCUUGAACAAAACUUUUAGGGAAGCCAGUCAAGUUCUUUCUAAAUACCAAGGAGGAAUAUCCAUGUUUCUUUAACUCUUAAGAAAGCUUUAGAUAUUUUUUGAAUGUGUAUGAAUGUUUUGCCUGCAUGCAUGUAUGUUCACCACACACGACUGGUGCCCAAGGAGAUCAGAAGACAGCAUGAUAUCCCCUGGAACUGGAAUUACUGUGUGGGUGCUGGGAACCAAUUCCAGAUCUGUGUGUCACUCAAACCCUGGAAUCAGCAGAAAGUGGCAACUGUGCCAUUAGUGGCUAAGUCUGGGUGACUGCCAGAUGUGACUGUGAGGGGUUCCCAGAGAGGUUUUAAUUGAGGAAGGAGGAUGCACCCUGAAUGUGGGCAGCACCACCUCAUGGCCCAGACUGAGUGAAAUGGGAGAAAAUCAGAAAACAAGCGGAGUACCAUCAUUCAUUUCUCAGCUUCCUGACUGUGGACACAAUGCAACCAGCUGCCCUCAAGCUCCUGCAUGGCACCUACCAACAUGCCUUCCUUUGCAAUAUGAACUCUACCCCUCAAAGUAGCCAGGAUGAACCCUUCCUUCUUUAAAUAGACUUCGUCAGGACUUUGCUCACAGCAAUGAACCAGCUGAUUAGUACAGGGGGCAACUUCAUCCCAGAUUUUGACCUCUAAAAAGAGACGUGGUUUCCUUUGGUGUCUAUGCUUUCCUGCUUCCACCACAGUCCAGUUCACCCUGACAAGCAGGUAGUAUGCUGCACCAGGUGAGCCUCUUAGAGUACAGGAUGGAGGGGUGGAGAGAGCUCAGAGGCACAAUUAAGUCUCUUGGGAAGUCCCUGACCUAUUUCCCAUUCAGGAGGGGGCUGGAUCCAAAUGAGGGUUCUUGGUAACAUUAUAGCUUCCCACCAGUCUAGGACUGGGCCAGUUUGAGAUCACUUCAGGAAUAACCAUUGGGUACUGGAAUCUCAGGAGCUGAGCUUUUACCCAUGACUAUGGAAAGAGAUAUGCUCAGACU